RNAcentral lists this ribosomal RNA (253 nucleotides) under uncultured bacterium. RNAcentral describes it as "partial 16S ribosomal RNA". It matches the Rfam family "Bacterial small subunit ribosomal RNA", at positions 524 to 776 of the family's 1533-position model. The record is from RNAcentral.
UACGUAGGAUGCAAGCGUUGUCCGGAAUUAUUGGGCGUAAAGAGCGCGCAGGCGGUUUGACAAGUCAGAUGUGAAAGAGGCCGGCUUAACCGGCAAGGGUCAUUUGAAACUGUCAGACUAGAGUACAGCAGAGGAUAGCGGAAUUCCCGGUGUAGUGGUGAAAUGCGUAGAUAUCGGGAGGAACACCAGUGGCGAAGGCGGGUCUCUGGGCCGAUACUGACGCUGAGGAGCGAAAGCGUGGGGAGCGAACAGG